UAAUUGAAGAGUUUGAUCAUGGCUCAGAUUGAACGCUGGCGGCAGGCUUAACACAUGCAAGUCGAGCGGUAGCACAGGAGAGCUUGCUCUCUGGGUGACGAGCGGCGGACGGGUGAGUAAUGUCUGGGAAACUGCCUGAUGGAGGGGGAUAACUACUGGAAACGGUAGCUAAUACCGCAUAACGUCGCAAGACCAAAGAGGGGGACCUUCGGGCCUCUUGCCAUCAGAUGUGCCCAGAUGGGAUUAGCUAGUAGGUGGGGUAAUGGCUCACCUAGGCGACGAUCCCUAGCUGGUCUGAGAGGAUGACCAGCCACACUGGAACUGAGACACGGUCCAGACUCCUACGGGAGGCAGCAGUGGGGAAUAUUGCACAAUGGGCGCAAGCCUGAUGCAGCCAUGCCGCGUGUGUGAAGAAGGCCUUCGGGUUGUAAAGCACUUUCAGCGAGGAGGAAGGUGGUGA
Molecule: ribosomal RNA, 460 nt
Filed under: Serratia marcescens
Lineage: Bacteria; Pseudomonadati; Pseudomonadota; Gammaproteobacteria; Enterobacterales; Yersiniaceae
Description: bacterial SSU rRNA
Rfam family: Bacterial small subunit ribosomal RNA
Source: RNAcentral